This 253-nucleotide ribosomal RNA is filed under the name uncultured bacterium. Its description in RNAcentral is "partial 16S ribosomal RNA". It matches the Rfam family "Bacterial small subunit ribosomal RNA", at positions 524 to 776 of the family's 1533-position model. The record is from RNAcentral.
UACGUAGGGGGCAAGCGUUGUCCGGAUUCAUUGGGCGUAAAGCGCGUGUAGGCGGCCAGGUAGGUCCGGUGUGAAAACUCGAGGCUCAACCUCGAGAGGUCAUCGGAAACCAUCUGGCUAGAGUCCGGAAGAGGAGAGUGGAAUUCCCGGUAUAGCGGUGAAAUGCGCAGAUAUCGGGAAGAACACCUAUGGCGAAGGCAGCUCUCUGGGACGGUACUGACGCUGAGACGCGAAAGCGUGGGGAGCGAACAGG